CAACCUGGCUGCUCAGGCCACAGCCUAGUGAAAAUUCUGUUCCCACAGGCACUGCUGCAGCUAAAGGAAAACGCAAGAUGUUCCAAACCCCUGAAAGUAGUUACUGAGUUUUCUAUGAGAGCAUAGGAAGACAGCGGAGACCCAAUACAACGAGGAACAGCUACCAGUGAAGAAGAUCCGAUGAGGAACAAGAUGAUGCUGACAUCUAGCUUCCACACAUGUGUACAUGUACAUGUACAUACAUGCCACUUCUCAGAACUCAGAUGCCUUCCCAUGGAUGAGCCUGGCACCAUGGAGAUAAUCCAUCACUUAGCAACACUUCUUUAACGACAAUCUUCUGCCCUGCACUCCUUGGUGCAAUCUCCUGCUCAUCGUUUAUCAAACGUUUCCUGCCUCUGACAGCCCCCUGCCUCAUUCCUCAGCACCUCCUACCUAACAACCUCCUGCAUUCCUCUGCCCCAUCCCAUGUCACGGUCCCCUAUAUAAGCUUGCACGAAAUCCUCAAUA
This is a long non-coding RNA of Mesocricetus auratus (golden hamster), 507 nucleotides long. RefSeq lists it as uncharacterized. NCBI's taxonomy places the organism in Eukaryota, Metazoa, Chordata, Mammalia, Rodentia, Cricetidae. The record is from RefSeq and is a predicted model, not a curated record. The transcript is spliced from 4 exons.